GAUGAAGAACGUAGUGAAAUGCGAUAAGUAAUGUGAAUUGCAGAAUUCAGUGAAUCAUCGAAUCUUUGAACGCACCUUGCGCUCUUUGGUAUUCCGAAGAGCAUGCCUGUUUGAGUGUCAUGAAAAUAUCAACCUUGACUUGGGUUUUGUGCUCUAGUCUCGGCUUGGAAUUGGGUGCAUGCCGCUUUUACGAGCGGCUCACCUUAAAUGUAUUAGCUGGAUCUGUCUUUGAGACUUGGUUUGACUUGGCGUAAUAAGUAUUUCGCUAAGGACAUUCUUCGGAGUGGCCUCGUUUCUAGGACGCUUGUCCGCUUUCCAAUACAAGUUCCACCUCGUGGACAUGACUUUUUAUUAUCUGGCCUCAAAUCAGGUAGGACUACCCGCUGAACUUAAGCAUAUCAAUAAGCGGAGGA
This 413-nucleotide unclassified non-coding RNA is filed under the name soil metagenome. RNAcentral's name for it is "partial contains 5.8S ribosomal RNA, internal transcribed spacer 2, and large subunit ribosomal RNA". The stretch from base 1 to 120 matches the Rfam family "5.8S ribosomal RNA", at positions 35 to 154 of the family's 154-position model. The record is from RNAcentral.